GACGAACGCUGGCGGCGUGCUUAACACAUGCAAGUCGAACGGAAAGGCCCUGCUUGCAGGGUACUCGAGUGGCGAACGGGUGAGUAACACGUGGGUGAUCUGCCCUGCACUUCGGGAUAAGCCUGGGAAACUGGGUCUAAUACCGGAUAGGAGCCAUUUUUAGUGUGAUGGUUGGAAAGUUUUUUCGGUGUAGGAUGAGCUCGCGGCCUAUCAGCUUGUUGGUGGGGUAAUGGCCUACCAAGGCGGCGACGGGUAGCCGGCCUGAGAGGGUGGACGGCCACAUUGGGACUGAGAUACGGCCCAGACUCCUACGGGAGACAUCAGUGGGGAAUAUUGCACAAUGGGCGCAAGCCUGAUGCAGCGACGCCGCGUGGGGGAUGACGGCCUUCGGGUUGUAAACUCCUUUCGCUAGGGACGAAGCUUUUUGUGACGGUACCUAGAUAAGAAGCACCGGCUAACUACGUG
RNAcentral lists this ribosomal RNA (465 nucleotides) under uncultured bacterium. Its description in RNAcentral is "partial 16S ribosomal RNA". It matches the Rfam family "Bacterial small subunit ribosomal RNA", at positions 28 to 507 of the family's 1533-position model. The record is from RNAcentral.